UAACACAUGCAAGUCGAGCGACAAGGUCUCUUCGGAGACUGGAGGAGCGGCAAACGGGGUAGUAAGGCAUCGGAACGUACCCUCCUGUCCAGGAUAGCCGCGGGAAACUGCGGUUAAUACUGGAUAAUACCGAAAGGUCAAAGGUCCGCCGCGGGAGGAGCGGCCGAUGUGAUACCAGCUAGUUGGUGAGGUAACGGCUCACCAAGGCUUAGACGUCUAGGGGGUGUGAGAGCAUGGCCCCCACCACUGGGACUGAGAUACUGCCCAGACACCUACGGGUGGCUGCAGUCGAGAAUCUUCGGCAAUGGGCGCAAGCCUGACCGAGCGACGCUACGUGCGGGAUGAAGGCCCUUGGGUUGUAAACCGCUGUCAGAGGGGAUGAAAGCGCAAGCUUGACAGAGCCUCAGAGGAAGCGCGGGCUAAGUUCGUGCCAGCAGCCGCGGUAAUAC
Molecule: ribosomal RNA, 449 nt
Filed under: uncultured Planctomyces sp.
Lineage: Bacteria; Pseudomonadati; Planctomycetota; Planctomycetia; Planctomycetales; Planctomycetaceae
Description: bacterial SSU rRNA
Rfam family: Bacterial small subunit ribosomal RNA
Source: RNAcentral